GAUUAACGCUGGCGGCGUGCCUAACACAUGCAAGUCGAACGAGGUAGCAAUACCUAGUGGCAGACGGGUGAGUAACGCGUGGUCAACCUACCGUUGAGUGGGGAAUAACUAGCCGAAAGGUUAGCUAAUACCGCAUACGUCUCCGAGUGGCAUCACUUGGCGAUAAAAGGAGCAAUCCGCUCGAUGACGGGACCGCGUCCCAUUAGCUAGAUGGUGGGGUAACGGCCUACCAUGGCACCGAUGGGUAGCUGGUUUGAGAGAGCGACCAGCCACACUGGGACUGAGAAACGGCCCAGACUCCUACGGGAGGCAGCAGUGAGGAAUUUUCCGCAAUGGGCGCAAGCCUGACGGAGCGACGCCGCGUGUGGGAAGAAGGCCUUC
RNAcentral lists this ribosomal RNA (381 nucleotides) under uncultured bacterium. RNAcentral describes it as "bacterial SSU rRNA". It matches the Rfam family "Bacterial small subunit ribosomal RNA", at positions 28 to 419 of the family's 1533-position model. The record is from RNAcentral.